CUGCUUCCCUGACCAUCUGGCUGAGCCGGGAGCGGAGCCGGAGCUGGAGCGGGAGGGGGAGUCCUGGUCCAGGGUGGGAGGCGGCUGCGGCAGCGGCGGCGUCCCCCUCCAUCCUCUCCCUCCUCCAGCCCUUCCCGGCCCCUCCUCCCCCUCCGCUGCGGCCAGACGCCGCCCCGCCAGCUGCGUCCUGGUCCUGGUUCGGGUCCCGGAGCUAGCGGAGCCGGAGCGGGAGCCCGAGCGGGAGCCAUGGGCUGCGGAAACUCCACAGCCACCAGCGCCAGCGCGGCCCGAGGUCCUGCUGGAGCUGCUAAAGAUGCGACAGAAGAAUCAAUAACAGAUGAUGACAAGAGAAGGAACUAUGGAGGGGUCUAUGUUGGCCUGCCGUCAGAUGCUGUCACAAUGGUGUCCAGUCAAACAAAGAGUGCACGAAAAGAUUAGAAGAAAAUUAUAUCCUGAUGUAAUAAACAAGAGCUUGCUCAUCAACAUUUGGGAAGAACUUAGUUCCACAGGAGACUUUCAUGUGUUGCAGACACUUUUGAGAAGGUUCUGGACACCCCAGAUCCCAAGUGUUGUCAGGCAAAGUUACAGGCAAAUCUUGAACGCUACCGAGGGAGAAGGAAAUCACUUGGACACUGUGCUCAAAGUAUGGAACCGCACUGUGGUCAUCUUGUAAUAAUCAAGCUCAUCAACUGUCCUGGGGCCUGCCACUUUAGACAGAAAUCUGCCCUGAGACCAGUAGGUAGUGUGCUCCUCCUCACUGGGGCCGGAUGGGAAAUCUCAUGAAUUAUACAGUUCACCAAUACGUUUUUGGAUGGCUUUUAUAUGAUAAAAAUCUUCAUUCUAUUUAUAAUGUCUAAUAAUGAGACACUGUAAGGGAAUUAAUGAAAAACCAUAUAUUUGACAUCUGUAAUCUUUUAGUACUCUCUGCACAAAUUGAAUCCAUUUUGUUUUUGGUUGUUAAAAUCUUAAAUUGAUCAAGUAGGCAUAAAGCUAUGAAGUUCUCACAGCUAUUUCUUUCCCUUUUAUACUACUGGUUUUCAGCUUUAUUAAAGCAUUCAGCUGCUCAAAGGAACUUUCUUUUUUAAGAAGGAUGUAUUUCAUUGCAACAUUUUUUUAAAAACAAAAUACUGGUUUUAUAUGUCCUGUAAAAUUUUGGUUCACCUUCUCUUUUCUUUGUAUAAAGGCUCAUGUAACUAGUGUCAUUGGUGUCUUCUCUCCCAUCCCACCUCCAAUAUGACCUUCCCAGAAAAGGUCACCAUGAUAUUAUUUAAUUAUUCAAAAUCAGUAAGGAUCAUUAUGGUGAAUGGCUAACGGGCUAUUUGGAAAAUACUUUAUUUGCUAAUAACUGUAAGUUUCUCUACUUAAUACUAUGCUGUAAUUUGCUAUGCUAUUUACCAGUGUAAUUAGACAAUUAAAACAUUUAUAUUCCUCUUUAGAAUGGAUUCUUAAUUCUGUUCUACAACAGGACAUAGUCAGAAACAUCACAUAUAGUAAUUACAUUAGUGAGAUUUGUUCAUUCAUUCAUAUGGCAAACUUUUAAGCACCGUCAAUCAAUCAGUCAAAAAACUCCUACUAUGUGCCAGUCAUUUUGUAAAAUGCUGGAGAUACAAUAAAGAAUGAGACAAUUUCUACUCA
RNAcentral lists this long non-coding RNA (1635 nucleotides) under Phascolarctos cinereus (koala). Its description in RNAcentral is "lncRNA (ENSPCIG00000027475.2)". Lineage: Eukaryota; Metazoa; Chordata; Mammalia; Diprotodontia; Phascolarctidae. The record is from RNAcentral.